UACGUAGGGCGCAAGCGUUGUCCGGAAUCAUUGGGCGUAAAGCGCGCGUAGGCGGCCCUGUAAGUCCGUUGUGAAAGUCAAAGGCUCAACCUUUGAAAGCCGAUGGAUACUGCAGGGCUAGAGUCCGGAAGAGGCGAGUGGAAUUCCUGGUGUAGCGGUGGAAUGCGCAGAUAUCAGGAGGAACACCAAUAGCGAAGGCAGCUCGCUGGGACGUUACUGACGCUGAGACGCGAAAGCGUGGGGAGCAAACAGG
Molecule: ribosomal RNA, 253 nt
Filed under: uncultured bacterium
Lineage: Bacteria
Description: partial 16S ribosomal RNA
Rfam family: Bacterial small subunit ribosomal RNA
Source: RNAcentral